This 86-nucleotide transfer RNA is filed under the name Clostridiales bacterium. RNAcentral describes it as "tRNA-Leu". It matches the Rfam family "tRNA". Rfam says of the family: Transfer RNA (tRNA) molecules are approximately 80 nucleotides in length. Their secondary structure includes four short double-helical elements and three loops (D, anti-codon, and T loops). Further hydrogen bonds mediate the characteristic L-shaped molecular structure. tRNAs have two regions of fundamental functional importance: the anti-codon, which is responsible for specific mRNA codon recognition, and the 3' end, to which the tRNAs corresponding amino acid is attached (by aminoacyl-tRNA synthetases). tRNAs cope with the degeneracy of the genetic code in two manners: having more than one tRNA (with a specific anti-codon) for a particular amino acid; and 'wobble' base-pairing, i.e. permitting non-standard base-pairing at the 3rd anti-codon position. RNAcentral also lists the same sequence under 1 other name. Lineage: Bacteria; Bacillati; Bacillota; Clostridia; Eubacteriales. The record is from RNAcentral.
GCCGGUGUGGUGGAAUGGCAGACGCGACGGACUCAAAAUCCGUUGGUAGCGAUACCGUGCUGGUUCAAGUCCAGUCACCGGCACCA